CAGUCGCCACGGGAAUACGGAGGGUGCAAGCGUUAAUCGGAAUUACUGGGCGUAAAGCGCACGCAGGCGGUCUGACAAGUCAGAUGUGAAAUCCCCGGGCUUAACCUGGGAACUGCAUUUGAAACUGUCAGGCUGGAGUCUUGUAGAGGGGGGUGGAAUUCCAGGUGUAGCGGUGAAAUGCGUAGAGAUCUGGAGGAAUACCGGUGGCGAAGGCGGCCCCCUGGACAAAGACUGACGCUCAGGUGCGAAAGCGUGGGGAGCAAACAGGAUUAGAUACCGUGUAGUCCCUGUCUCUUAUACA
This 301-nucleotide ribosomal RNA is filed under the name uncultured bacterium. RNAcentral's name for it is "partial 16S ribosomal RNA". It matches the Rfam family "Bacterial small subunit ribosomal RNA", at positions 509 to 808 of the family's 1533-position model. The record is from RNAcentral.